UUUAAUAUGGCAGAUAAGUGCAAUGAAUUUAAACUUCAUAUAUAAAAAUUUUACUUUUUUAUUAAAA
This 67-nucleotide transfer RNA is filed under the name Linepithema humile (Argentine ant). RNAcentral describes it as "tRNA-Leu". The record is from RNAcentral. Lineage: Eukaryota; Metazoa; Arthropoda; Insecta; Hymenoptera; Formicidae.